Molecule: long non-coding RNA, 6398 nt
Filed under: Vitis vinifera (wine grape)
Lineage: Eukaryota; Viridiplantae; Streptophyta; Magnoliopsida; Vitales; Vitaceae
Description: long non-coding RNA (VVIN_LNC005647)
Source: RNAcentral
UAGUCAUUAGCGAUUGUCCAAGUUUGGUUUCUUUGUCACAUAAUAUAAAAUUCUUGACUGCAUUAGAGGUGUUGGUAAUUGACAAUUGUCAAAAACUUGAAUCCAUGGAUGGGGAAGCAGAAGGGCAAGAAGACAUUCAAAGCUUUGGGAGCCUACAAAUUUUGUUCUUUGGUGAUUUACCACAAUUGGAGGCUUUACCGAGGUGGCUUCUUCAUGGGCCAACUUCUAACACUUUACAUCAAUUACAUAUUUCAAAUUGCCCAAGCUUGAGAGCAUUGCCAGAAAGUGGGUUGCAAAAGCUCGUAUACCUUCAAAAACUUGAGAUUGAAGAUUGUCCUGAAUUGAUUGGAAGAUGCAAAACUGAAACGGGGGAAGAUUGGCAAAAAAUCGCUCAUAUACCUAAAAUAUAUCUUGAUGGAGAAAAGAUUGCAUCGUUAACCAAUAAUUAGGUAAGGGAGAACUCUUAAAUUCUAGUUUAUUUUCUUAUUAAUUUCACACGGCACUUUGUUACCCUCAUUUAUCUAGUUCUGAUUUUUAAUUUUAUUCUUUUAGUAUGAAGUGUAAUCCUCAAUGCGUCAUUUGGUUUAAUUGGUUUUUUAGACAAAAUUUCUAUUAUGAUUUUUUAUAACAUUUAUAAAUCAAAGUUUAUUAUUUCUUUAGUAUAUAUAAUCUUAAGAAAGAAGGGAAAAAAAAAAUGAAGCACAGGCAACCAAAUAAACUUUGAUGGGUAUUUCCAUAUAGAGAGAGAGAUAUAUAAAUGUUGGAAAUAUUGUUACCACAUUUGUCAUUUCUUGUAUCUAAUCAAAUGUGGCUCUUCUGCUUUGAUUGGAUGAUGCGGUUGGAAGUUGGAAAUAUUGUUACUAGAGUCAGACUAGUCAUUUCUUUUAAGUAUCUAUUCAUCUCGUUGCCUUUUCUAUUGAGAAUGUUUAAUUUGUCGAUUUUCCAUGAUAUUAUGUUUGAAUCUGUUGUUGAUAUUGAGAUAUUGGCAAUUAAUGAAAGGUAGCAUAUGUUAAGGAUAAUAAUUUAUGCUCUGAAGAUGACCUCUCCCGGUUGCCCAUUCUUUAAUAGUGACAGAGGCCAUGCAUUCUCUUCUUCUAGUUGUCAAUUUCUUUCCAUAAAAUUUUAAUGAUAUUGGUCUUUCUAUCUUGUUGUUGGAAAAUAAAAAUACAAACAGGCGGACUGGGUAAGAAAUGGAGAGUUGACCUGGAAAUGGAGGACUAAUCAAAUAUGGUUCUUCUGCUAUGAUUGGAUGAUGCGGUUGGAAGUUGGAAGUUGGAAGAGAGUUGAUGGAGCUGGAAAUGGAGAACUGAUCAAAGCUAGUGUUUGGGUCCUUGCUUGCUUACCAGUCUUUUUCUUGAUUCUUGACUUGUUGCCUCAGUGCUGAAUUCUGGAGUGGUGUGCUUGUUUAUUAUUUGUCUUAUUUUCACAUAGACUCAUGUGUAAGGUUGUUUUGGUUGUUUGGAGUUUGGAGUGUGAACUUUGAUUUAGUUUACAAUAAAAGAUUGAUGGAUUCAUUUAUCAAUCAAAUAUAUGAAUGAUAAUAUACGAUUCUAAUUUAGUUUACACAUUAUUGGUAAAAUAUAAAUGACAAUACACGAUUUUGAUUUGCCCGUAUUCAUAAUUUCCUCCUCCAACAUUCUCUAUAUAUAUCAUGCAUGGACGCACAUAUAUAUGAAUACGAGAUUCUCCGCAUGUAUUCCGUGUCCUAAAAUCAAGGACUUUUUUGGCCAACAUAGGAGAGAAUUGAACUGGAACUGGAGUGACUAAUCAAGGCUACCGUUUGGAAUCAAAGCCACAACCUUGGUUUGGGAACACAGAGACUGAAUUAUCUAUCCUACUAUACUUUGAUGCCCUGCUUGGUUGCAAAAAUUUGCCUCUUUGACCUGGAGGAUGUUUCUUACAUACAUUUGAUUUUUUUUUCCUUUUUCUUUUUCUCUGCUCUAACCAAUAAAUUGGAACUUAGGAAAAAAAAUAUAUCUUCCUUCAAUCCAAGUCUCGAUUUCUGGCCAUGUUAAGAUUUUUUUGUCGAGCAACAUCCAAUCUUUGAAAGCAUGGUCUUCUUUUGAUUCUAAGCCCCUCAUAAUAUAAUUUUUUUUCUAAUUAAUGUGUUUAAAAAUGUUAAAGAGAAUGAUUUGUAAGAUAAUCUUAUUCAUUUUGGUAGCUAUUUUGAAAAACAUGUAAAAUAUUUUUUUCAAAAAUAAUUUUAUAAAAUUAGAGAUCAUAAAAUAAAAGAAAUUAAAAAAAUAAAUAUUUUUUUAAAUAAUUGGUUAAAAAAGAUGAAAUACUUUUCAUAUUUGUGAAUUUAUUAUUUUCUAUAUUUUUAUUUGAAGAGUAACUUAUUUUUUACAUAAAUAUCCUUUUUUAUUUCAAGUAUUUAUAAUAUAUUUUAAAAGAAAUAAUUAUUUUUACACGAAAACAAUAAAGGUAUUUUUAUCAAAAUUAGGCCAAAAAAAUUAUUAAGGGUUAUAUUUUCAAAAUUAGGUUUCCAAUAACCAAUAACCUUUUAAUUAAAUAAUCCAUAAUUUUCCCGAGAUGGUAUAUGACUUUAUUAGAGAUAGAAUUUCUUAUAUUAAGAAGAAAAUUUCAAAGUUUAAAAUUACAUUCGGGUGAGUAUCUACAAUUAAGAUAUAAAAUGCAAAUUUCUAAAAUGAUGUAAUGAGAACCAUUAUAUAAUAUCAUAGCUUUUCUAUUUUUACCCCUUAAAUUUGUAAGAAAAAAUUAUUUAUUUUGAGAAGUUGAUUUAUAAAACAAUUUCAGGUCUCAUGAUAAAAGUUUAUUCUUUCACAUUCUGUUUUACAAAGGCAAGUCCCAAAUACAAUCAAUAAAAUAUAAAUUAUAAAAAUAUGAUGUUGGGGUCAAUUGGAAUUUCAACUAAAUGACAAAUUUUUAGUACAAUUUGGAAAAAAAAAUGUUUUAUUCUAUAAAAGGAAUUGAAAAAAAAUUCAAACUUCUCAUAAGUGAAUGGAUUUAAUUUUAUGUUUUAAGAAAGAAAAAUCAUAAAUUGAAACUUAAUUAUUAAUGUUCCCCUUGUUUUAAUGAUUGAAAAAGUAACUUAUAAUCUCUAGAAGAAUUAUAAUAAAUUUAGUAAUAAUUUAUUAAAUAAUAUUUAUAAAAAUUGUAUUUAUUUAUAAUUAAAUUAAGACCUCUUAAGAUUUAGUGUAAAUACACUAAAAUAUCAAAAGUAUUAAAUUUUAUCAUUUAGGAUUCCUAUAAAUGUAUUUCAUAUAUAAAUUUUAUAUUUUAAAUAAUAAAAUUUAAUUUUUAGAGGACCGUUAAAUACUACUUUCCAAAAUAUUUUUACUUAAAAUCUCUCUGAAAAAGGUAAAUUUGGUAAAUAAAAUAAAUUUAUUAAAGUAUUAAUUGAUGAAAUUUAAAACCGAUCAUGAUUGAGACAAAACCGUAGGCUUGAGUGAAAUUAACCCUUAAACAAACCAAAAAAAAAAAAGUCUCUCCUCUUGUGAGCAUCAAUGAGUAUGGUCCAAGUGAGUCAAGUGACUUCCUUGGACAAUAAAAAAGUUUCCAAUGCUUUACACACGUCCCUUUAUUACUGGAUGAAUUGAUUAUAGGGACAGAAGCGUCAUUACAAUGUGUUAACAUUGACCCGAGCAUCGACUUUGCCAAGAAUCAUUUCAGAUCUCGGAUCUCUGAUUCUCAAUUUACCUUUCCCAUUCCCAAACAACCACCAUCGCCCAUCGCUAGCUCUUCAAUUCCCUGCUUCUCUGCAACAUGGUUGAAUCAUUUGCCUUUGCCAUAGCUGACAGAGUUUUGGGGAAGUUGGGCUCUGCCCUCAUCCAAGAAGUUGGCCUUGCCUGGGGUGUUAAAACCGAGCUGGAAGAGCUCAACGAUACUUUAUCCACCAUCCGAGCGGUGCUCUUAGAUGCUGAGGAGAAGCAAGCCACCAGCCAUCAGCUGAGAGAUUGGCUGGGAAAGCUCAAAGUUGGCUUUUAUGAUGCUGAAGAUAUUGUCGAUGAAUUUGAAUAUGAGGCCUUACGCCAGAAAGUGGUGGCUAGUGGGAGUUUUAAAACCAAGGUAUGCAGUUUCUUUUCAAGUCCAAAGUCACUUGCAUUCAAUCUUAAGAUGGGUCAUAGGGUGAAGAAGAUAAGAGGGAGAUUGGAUAAAAUUGCAGCUGAUAAGUCAAAAUUUAAUCUCAUCGAGGCUGUUGCAAACACGCCUGUUGUGCUAAGCAAGAGGGAGAUGACCCACUCCUUUGUCCGAGCUUCCGAUGUUAUCGGGAGAGACGAUGAUAAAGAAAAUAUUGUUGGGCUUUUGAUGCAACCUAGCGUUACUGAGAAUGUUUCUGUAAUUCCCAUAGUUGGGAUUGGGGGGCUAGGCAAGACAACUCUGGCUAAACUUGUGUAUAAUGACGAGAGCGUAGUGGGGCAAUUCUCCACUAAAAUGUGGGUUUGUGUGUCAGAUGAGUUUGAUAUUGAAAAGCUUAUAAAGAAAAUCCUUAAGGAGAUCAGGAAAGGUGAUGAAAGUUACAGUGACUCCUCCAUGGAGCAGUUGCAGAGUCAUCUUAGAAAUGCAUUAGAUGGUGAAAAAUUCUUGCUGGUUUUGGAUGAUGUGUGGAAUACGGAUCGUGAGAAGUGGCUUAAGCUGAAAGACUUGCUCGUGGACGGUGCCAGUGGAAGCAAAAUUCUUGUAACUACACGCAAGAAGUCAACUGCUUCAAUCAUGGGCACUUUUCCCAUGCAAGAAAUAAAGGGUCUUUCUCAUGACGAUUGUUUAUCUUUAUUUGUGAAAUGCGCAUUUAGGGACGGAGAAGAUAAACAAUAUCCAACCCUUUUAAAAAUUGGGGACCAAAUUGUUGAGAAAUGUGCAGGGGUUCCUCUGGCUGUGAGAAGUUUAGGGAGUUUGCUGUAUUCGAAAAGGGGUGAACGGGAUUGGGUAUCCAUUAGAGAUAGCAAAAUAUGGGAAUUAGAACAAAAUGAAGAUGGUAUUAAUGAAGAUGGUAUUAUGGCUGCGUUAAGACUGAGCUAUUAUGAUUUGCCUUAUCACUUGAAACAAUGCUUUGCUCUUUGUUCCCUAUUUCCCAAAGAUUAUGAAUUUAGUAAUGUUGUUUUGAUCUCAACUUGGAUGGCAGAAGGCCUCAUUCAUUCAUCGGGACAAAAUGCCAAAAUGGAGGAUAUUGGUGAGAGAUAUAUUAAUGAGCUAUUAUCGAGAUCUUUCUUUCAAGAUGUUGAGCAGCUGAUACUAGGAGUACUAUAUACAUUCAAAAUGCACGAUCUUGUACAUGAUCUUGCGAUGUUUUUUGCACAACCUGAGUGUUUAAUACUAAAUUUUCAUAGUAAAGAUAUUCCUAAAAGGGUUCAACACGCCGCAUUUUCUGAUACCGAGUGGCCCAAAGAAGAGUGUAAAGCUUUAAAAUUCUUGGAGAAGUUGAAUAAUGUUCAUACCAUUUAUUUUCAAAUGAAAAAUGUGGCCCCUAGAAGCGAAUCAUUUGUUAAGGCAUGCAUCUUGAGAUUCAAAUGUAUACGGAUAUUGGAUUUACAAGACUCUAACUUUGAAGCAUUGCCUAAAUCUAUUGGUAGUAUGAAGCAUCUAAGAUUUUUGGACUUAAGUGGAAAUAAGAGAAUCAAAAAACUCCCUAAUUCCAUUUGUAAGUUAUACCAUUUGCAAGCUUUGUCACUCUCACGAUGUUCAGAACUUGAAGAAUUACCAAGAGGCAUAUGGAGUAUGAUCAGUUUGAGGACGGUAUCUAUAACAAUGAAACAAAGGGAUUUAUUUGGAAAGGAAAAAGGGUUGAGAAGCUUGAAUUCUCUUCAACGAUUAGAGAUUGUUGAUUGUCUCAAUUUGGAAUUUUUGUCUAAAGGAAUGGAAAGCCUUAUUGAACUUCGAAUGUUAGUCAUUAACGAUUGUCCAAGUUUGGUUUCUUUGUCACAUGGUAUAAAACUCUUGACUGCAUUAGAGGUUUUGGCAAUUGGCAAUUGUCAAAAACUUGAAUCCAUGGAUGGGGAAGCAGAAGGGCAAGAAGACAUUCAAAGCUUUGGGAGCCUACAAAUUUUGUUCUUUGACAAUUUACCACAAUUGGAGGCUUUACCGAGGUGGCUUCUUCAUGAGCCAACUUCUAACACUCUACACCAUUUAAAGAUUUCACAGUGCUCAAACUUGAAAGCAUUGCCAGCGAAUGAUCUACAAAAGCUCGCAUCCCUUAAAAAAUUGGAGAUCGAUGAUUGUCCUGAAUUGAUUAAAAGAUGCAAGCCUAAAACCGGGGAGGAUUGGCAAAAAAUCGCUCAUAUACCUGAAAUAUAUUUUGAUGGACGGGAAAUUGCAUCAUCAACCAAAUAAUUAGGUAUGAGAGAAUAUCUAUUUUAGUCUAUUUUCUUAUUGAUUAUUUGUCAUUUUAUGAGCCUCAUUUGUCUAGUUUUUGCUCUUACUUUUAUUCUUUUAGUUCAAAG